Long non-coding RNA from Spea bombifrons (plains spadefoot toad), 119 nucleotides. RefSeq lists it as uncharacterized. Lineage: Eukaryota; Metazoa; Chordata; Amphibia; Anura; Pelobatidae. The record is from RefSeq and is a predicted model, not a curated record. The transcript has 2 exons.
GAUUAAUGCCCAACUGGAAGCUUACCACAGAUUUUUGUGUUUGGCUACCUUUAACAUCCACAAUAUUCUUUCUGGUGUUAUAGCAGAACAGCAGAAGCCUUUCAAACAGAAUAAAAUAA